GGACUACCCGGGUUUCUAAUCCUGUUUGCUCCCCACGCUUUCGCUCCUCAGUGUCAGGUAAGGCCCAGAGAACCGCCUUCGCCACCGGUGUUCCUCCCGAUAUCUGCGCAUUUCACCGCUACACCGGGAAUUCCAUUCUCCCCUACCUACCUCUAGUCCGCCCGUAUCCGCAGCAAGUCCAGGGUUAAGCCCUGGAUUUUCACAACAGACGUGGCGGACCACCUACGAGCUCUUUACGCCCAAUAAUUCCGGACAACGCUCGCGCCCUACGUGUUACCGCGGCUGCUGGCAC
Molecule: ribosomal RNA, 292 nt
Filed under: uncultured bacterium
Lineage: Bacteria
Description: partial 16S ribosomal RNA
Source: RNAcentral